Molecule: unclassified non-coding RNA, 237 nt
Filed under: Hevea brasiliensis (rubber tree)
Lineage: Eukaryota; Viridiplantae; Streptophyta; Magnoliopsida; Malpighiales; Euphorbiaceae
Source: RNAcentral
UGAAGUCUAAGCUUCUCGACUAAAAAACUUAGUUCGGCUAACUUUAUAGGUAUGUCUCAACAAUCUCAAGUCCAGAAUUUCGUGCAUGUGUGCAACGCGCAAGUAUGCAUAGCACUUUAAAAGAGAAAAAAAGGUUGAAAUGGGACAAAGGUUCCCUCUCUAAUGUACAAAAUAUAACUCUUGAGAGUACUUCAGGUGUCUCUGAAUGUGUGUACAUUGUGUAGAAUUUUAUGUGCA